GCAUUCAGAUACACCCUGGAUUAUAUAUAAGAUGCUAAAUUGAAGUCUUGAUGUCCUCCAGCUUCCAUUUACUAGACCAGGGGCAGUGGCCAGGAAUGAACCCUAUGGAGCAUCAUCCUUGGAACCAGGUCACUUGAUGAACACAGUCUGUAGCUUCAAUGACUGGCUUAAGAACUGUUACUCGGGAGAGGAACAAUAGCCAGAGGUGGGCUAGGAGGGCAAGGAGGAUGCUUAAUGCAGACAAACACCAGCCACAUCUCAAGCCCAACUUAACCUGGAACAGCAACAAGAAAGGGAGCCAGCAGGGUGGAGAGACACCCCCGCCCCAGCACACUUCUCCCACAGAAAUUGUCCGAGCUAACGCCUUUCAUAAGAGCAGAGGAACUGCAGCGCCUCUGCACCUCCCACCAAGUCACAGGGCAUCCAUUGUCCGAUCCGUUCGUGACUCCGGGGGUCAUGUCGGCAGCACUGACGCAAAUAAAUGCAUGGCAGAGUCCACACUGAGCUCUCAGUGGAGUGGAGUACCGAGUAGUCCUCUGAGGUGGUCAACCGGAUAUGUGACGAGCCUCGGGCGGUCAUCUGAGCACAUGAGCACACAAUGCUCGCACAGGAAGUGAUUCAAUUCUGUAUCCUUAUGCGGUCAGGCUGAGCUUGAUGCCAAGUAGAUUAUUACCGCUGUGGCAAGCCCGUGGUCAUCGUCUACUCUUCCAGUACAGGUACGAAAUCAACACUUUGGUCCUGAUACCAGACACUCCGAGUGCCAAGGGCAGGCGAGUGCAGUGAAGACUGUCCACGGAUCGUGUCCACCUUUGCAAGAUAGCAGUGUUUUCUUAGGGGAAGAAUAUGAAGGGAUCUAAAAUAAGAUCCUUGGGCCAUCACUGGAAAGGAAGGCAGAAGCACCCCCCACCACCACCACCAUCAAAGGGUACUUCAAGGGUGCUACAAAGCCAUGUCCUCAGAGCCCCUCAGCGACCACUGGCCUUGAGUGUGUACAAGCUGACGGCAGAGUGAUGGUGUAAAUUGUGUCCAAGUCAUGAACUUACCUUCCGGGAGAGCAAAGGGGGUGCUACCAAAAUCUACACGUGAGCAAGUGGUAUAAAGAGAAGACUGCUAAGAAGGAAGAGACUUUGAGGCUAAGACCCAGGGCAUAAAGAAGAAGUGGCCAUACCCAUGCCCUUUGUGAGCAUUAAAGUAUUACCUAUACUGUA
This 1208-nucleotide long non-coding RNA is filed under the name Mus musculus (house mouse). RNAcentral's name for it is "RIKEN cDNA 4930533K18 gene, transcript variant 2 (4930533K18Rik)". Lineage: Eukaryota; Metazoa; Chordata; Mammalia; Rodentia; Muridae. The record is from RNAcentral.